RNAcentral lists this transfer RNA (71 nucleotides) under Nematostella vectensis (starlet sea anemone). It matches the Rfam family "tRNA". Rfam says of the family: Transfer RNA (tRNA) molecules are approximately 80 nucleotides in length. Their secondary structure includes four short double-helical elements and three loops (D, anti-codon, and T loops). Lineage: Eukaryota; Metazoa; Cnidaria; Anthozoa; Actiniaria; Edwardsiidae. The record is from Rfam by way of RNAcentral.
GCAUUGGUGGUUCAGUGGUAGAAUUCUCGCCUGCCACGCGGGAGGCCCGGGUUCGGUUCCCUGCCAGUGCA